AGUCUCUUAGGGUUUGAAUGAAUUAUUUUAUUAUUUAAAAAAGCACAAACAUCUCUCUCCUCUCCACACCUCACCCUCUCUCCCUCUUCUUUUUUCCAUGCCCAAGGGUUGGGCAUCCAUCAUCCACACGCCUGAGUUGAGAAGGGUCUCUUCUACAUCAAGAAAUGAGGAAAAAAAGACUGCAGUUCAAAGGUUAAGGUUGCAAUCA
RNAcentral lists this long non-coding RNA (208 nucleotides) under Elaeis guineensis (African oil palm). RNAcentral describes it as "long non-coding RNA (EGUI_LNC034553)". Lineage: Eukaryota; Viridiplantae; Streptophyta; Magnoliopsida; Arecales; Arecaceae. The record is from RNAcentral.